RNAcentral lists this ribosomal RNA (330 nucleotides) under Triticum aestivum (bread wheat). RNAcentral's name for it is "partial small subunit ribosomal RNA". Lineage: Eukaryota; Viridiplantae; Streptophyta; Magnoliopsida; Poales; Poaceae. The record is from RNAcentral.
AUGACUGGUGACAAGAAUCUAUUGAUGGAUGCUCCCUUAUCACCAUCGCAUCUGAAGCAUAUCAUCUUCGCUGACAAAGGCAAAAGUCAGGUAUUGGGUCUAGGUAAGGUUGCGAUCACAAAGGAUCGACACAUGGACAAAGUCAUGUUUGUUGAGUCCUUAGGAUACAACCUCAUGUCUGUCUCAAUGCUUUGUGAUCUUGAUAUGGUUGUUGUCUUUGGCAAGUAUCGUUGUGUUGUGGUUAUGGAAGCUGACAAUUCCAAAGUCUUCGAAGGCUUUAGGAGAGGAGACUUGUAUAUUGUUGAUUUCUCUACAGGACCGCAACCAGCC